Molecule: long non-coding RNA, 544 nt
Organism: Lynx canadensis (Canada lynx)
Lineage: Eukaryota; Metazoa; Chordata; Mammalia; Carnivora; Felidae
Exons: 3
Source: RefSeq, a predicted model, not a curated record
CCUGGCCGACUUCCUGACAGAAACCUCAAGAUAUAUCCUGAGGCACGACUAUCCAGUUAAGUUUCUCCUGGGUUCCCACAGAAAUUGGCAAGGCAUCGUCUUAGCCCUCAAGGAUACAGGCAAACACAAAACCAAGUCCCUGCCUCCAAGGAGUUUAAUAUUCUACUGGAUGAUACAGAAAUACACAAGUAAUUACAAAUAAUUUGUCAGGUCACUCACUCUUGGGGAAGCCAGCUGCCAUAUUGUGAGCCACCUUAUGAAGAGGUCCACAGGCUAUGACAAGGAAUGAGGACCUGCAGUCCAAGGCCCAUGAGGAGCCGAAGCCUGUGACAGCCACAUGACUGAUCUUGGAAGUAGAUCCUCGUGCCCUAGCCAAAUCUUCAGAUGACUGAAGCCCUGAUCAACAAGUGGACUAUUACUUCGCAAGGAUCUUUGAGCCAGAGGCACCCAACUAAACUGCUCUGGGUUUCCUGGGGCACCUGGGUGGCUCAGUCAGUUAAGUGCCUGACUCGACUUUGGCUCAGGUCAUGAUCUCACAGUUUGU